RNAcentral lists this ribosomal RNA (1219 nucleotides) under Pseudomonas sp. URIL14HWK12:I9. RNAcentral describes it as "bacterial LSU rRNA". It matches the Rfam family "Bacterial large subunit ribosomal RNA", at positions 4 to 1269 of the family's 2925-position model. Lineage: Bacteria; Pseudomonadati; Pseudomonadota; Gammaproteobacteria; Pseudomonadales; Pseudomonadaceae. The record is from RNAcentral.
CAAGCGAACAAGUGCAUGUGGUGGAUGCCUUGGCGAUCACAGGCGAUGAAGGACGCGGUAGCCUGCGAAAAGCUACGGGGAGCUGGCAAACGAGCUUUGAUCCGUAGAUGUCCGAAUGGGGAAACCCACUCCUUUUGGAGUAUCCAUGGCUGAAUACAUAGGCCAUGCGAAGCGAACGCGGUGAACUGAAACAUCUAAGUAACCGCAGGAAAAGAAAUCAACCGAGAUUCCCAAAGUAGUGGCGAGCGAAAUGGGAUGAGCCUUGUACUCUUUAUUUGUAUUGUUAGCCGAACGCUCUGGAAAGUGCGGCCAUAGCAGGUGAUAGCCCUGUAGGCGAAAACAGUAUGAAAGAACUAAGUGUACGACAAGUAGGGCGGGACACGUGAAAUCCUGUCUGAAGAUGGGGGGACCAUCCUCCAAGGCUAAAUACUCGUGAUCGACCGAUAGUGAACCAGUACCGUGAGGGAAAGGCGAAAAGAACCCCGGGAGGGGAGUGAAAUAGAUCCUGAAACCGCAUGCAUACAAACAGUCGGAGCCUCGUAAGGGGUGACGGCGUACCUUUUGUAUAAUGGGUCAGCGACUUACGUUCAGUAGCAAGCUUAACCGUAUAGGGCAGGCGUAGCGAAAGCGAGUCCGAAUAGGGCGUUCAGUUGCUGGGCGUAGACCCGAAACCAAGUGAUCUAUCCAUGGCCAGGAUGAAGGUGCGGUAACACGUACUGGAGGUCCGAACCCACUAACGUUGAAAAGUUAGGGGAUGAGCUGUGGAUAGGGGUGAAAGGCUAAACAAACUUGGAAAUAGCUGGUUCUCUCCGAAAACUAUUUAGGUAGUGCCUCGUGUCUCACCUUCGGGGGUAGAGCACUGUCAUGGUUGGGGGGUCUAUUGCAGAUUACCCCGCCAUAGCAAACUCCGAAUACCGAAGAGUGCAAUCACGGGAGACAGACAUCGGGUGCUAACGUCCGGUGUCAAGAGGGAAACAACCCAGACCGCCAGCUAAGGUCCCCAAAUAUAGCUAAGUGGGAAACGAAGUGGGAAGGCUAAAACAGUCAGGAGGUUGGCUUAGAAGCAGCCACCCUUUAAAGAAAGCGUAAUAGCUCACUGAUCGAGUCGUCCUGCGCGGAAGAUGUAACGGGGCUAAGCUAUAUACCGAAGCUGCGGAUGCGAGCUAUGCUCGCAUGGUAGGAGAGCGUUCCGUAAGCCUGCGAAGGUGCGUUGAAAAGC